UACGAACGCUGGCGGCGUGCUUAACACAUGCAAGUCGAACGGAAAGGCCCUGCUUUUGUGGGGUGCUCGAGUGGCGAACGGGUGAGUAACACGUGAGUAACCUGCCCUUGACUUUGGGAUAACUUCAGGAAACUGGGGCUAAUACCGGAUAGGAGCUCCUGCUGCAUGGUGGGGGUUGGAAAGUUUCGGCGGUUGGGGAUGGACUCGCGGCUUAUCAGCUUGUUUGUGGGGUAGUGGCUUACCAAGGCUUUGACGGGUAGCCGGCCUGAGAGGGUGACCGGCCACAUUGGGACUGAGAUACGGCCCAGACUCCUACGGGAGGCAGCAGUGGGGAAUAUUGCACAAUGGGCGGAAGCCUGAUGCAGCAACGCCGCGUGCGGGAUGACGGCCUUCGGGUUGUAAACCGCUUUCGCCUGUGACGAAGCGUGAGUGACGGUAAUGGGUAAAGAAGCACCGGCUAACUACGU
This 467-nucleotide ribosomal RNA is filed under the name uncultured bacterium. RNAcentral's name for it is "partial 16S ribosomal RNA". It matches the Rfam family "Bacterial small subunit ribosomal RNA", at positions 29 to 506 of the family's 1533-position model. The record is from RNAcentral.